RNAcentral lists this ribosomal RNA (824 nucleotides) under uncultured Peptostreptococcus sp. Its description in RNAcentral is "bacterial SSU rRNA". The stretch from base 3 to 527 matches the Rfam family "Bacterial small subunit ribosomal RNA", at positions 30 to 543 of the family's 1533-position model. Lineage: Bacteria; Bacillati; Bacillota; Clostridia; Peptostreptococcales; Peptostreptococcaceae. The record is from RNAcentral.
AUUGAACGCUGGCGGCAGGCUUAACACAUGCAAGUCGAACGGUAACAUAAAGAAGCUUGCUUCUUUGAUGACGAGUGGCGGACGGGUGAGUAAUGCUUGGGAAUCUAGCUUAUGGAGGGGGAUAACUACGGGAAACUGUAGCUAAUACCGCGUAAUAUCGAGAGAUUAAAGUGUGGGACCUUCGGGCCACAUGCCAUAGGAUGAGCCCAAGUGGGAUUAGGUAGUUGGUGAGGUAAAGGCUCACCAAGCCGACGAUCUCUAGCUGGUCUGAGAGGAUGACCAGCCACACUGGGACUGAGACACGGCCCACACUCCUACGGGAGGCAGCAGUGGGGAAUAUUGCGCAAUGGGGGCAACCCUGACGCAUCCAUGCCGCGUGAAUGAAGAAAGCCUUCGGGUUGUGAAGUUCUUUCGGGAGCGAGGAAGGCAUGUAGUUUAAUAGACUAGGUGAUUGACGUUAACUACAGAAUAAGCACCUGUUAACUCCGUGCCUGCAGCCGCGGUAAUAUGGGAGGGUGGGAGCGUUAUUGUCAAUAACUGGCUGUGAAUGUCUGUGGUGGUUGGAUUGUGUGAGGUGUGAAUGCCUCUUGUUAACCUGGAUUGCUUUCAUUGUGUGUGGUGAUUAUUUUUGGAGGCUAGAAUUGUUGUUGAUGGUGAAUUGUUUUGGUUGGAUGUUGUUGCUGUUGUGGUUUUCUUUUUUGUUUUUGUGUUUUGUAUCUGUGUUGUUUUGUAUGUUUGUGUGAUGUGUGUGUUUGAAUGUGUGUGUGUUGUGUGGUGUUGUUGUGUGCUGUUGUGUUGGUGUGAAAUGAAAAAAGUAGUGUGAU